This 196-nucleotide ribosomal RNA is filed under the name uncultured bacterium. RNAcentral describes it as "partial 16S ribosomal RNA". It matches the Rfam family "Bacterial small subunit ribosomal RNA", at positions 1305 to 1500 of the family's 1533-position model. The record is from RNAcentral.
CUGCAACUCGACUGCACGAAGCUGGAAUCGCUAGUAAUCGCAGAUCAGAAUGCUGCGGUGAAUACGUUCCCGGGUCUUGUACACACCGCCCGUCACACCAUGGGAGUCAGUAACGCCCGAAGUCAGUGACCUAACCGCAAGGGAGGAGCUGCCGAAGGCGGGACCGAUAACUGGGGUGAAGUCGUAACAAGGUAGC